Molecule: ribosomal RNA, 848 nt
Filed under: Staphylococcus aureus S100
Lineage: Bacteria; Bacillati; Bacillota; Bacilli; Caryophanales; Staphylococcaceae
Description: bacterial SSU rRNA
Rfam family: Bacterial small subunit ribosomal RNA
Source: RNAcentral
UUUUAUGGAGAGUUUGAUCCUGGCUCAGGAUGAACGCUGGCGGCGUGCCUAAUACAUGCAAGUCGAGCGAACGGACGAGAAGCUUGCUUCUCUGAUGUUAGCGGCGGACGGGUGAGUAACACGUGGAUAACCUACCUAUAAGACUGGGAUAACUUCGGGAAACCGGAGCUAAUACCGGAUAAUAUUUUGAACCGCAUGGUUCAAAAGUGAAAGACGGUCUUGCUGUCACUUAUAGAUGGAUCCGCGCUGCAUUAGCUAGUUGGUAAGGUAACGGCUUACCAAGGCAACGAUGCAUAGCCGACCUGAGAGGGUGAUCGGCCACACUGGAACUGAGACACGGUCCAGACUCCUACGGGAGGCAGCAGUAGGGAAUCUUCCGCAAUGGGCGAAAGCCUGACGGAGCAACGCCGCGUGAGUGAUGAAGGUCUUCGGAUCGUAAAACUCUGUUAUUAGGGAAGAACAUAUGUGUAAGUAACUGUGCACAUCUUGACGGUACCUAAUCAGAAAGCCACGGCUAACUACGUGCCAGCAGCCGCGGUAAUACGUAGGUGGCAAGCGUUAUCCGGAAUUAUUGGGCGUAAAGCGCGCGUAGGCGGUUUUUUAAGUCUGAUGUGAAAGCCCACGGCUCAACCGUGGAGGGUCAUUGGAAACUGGAAAACUUGAGUGCAGAAGAGGAAAGUGGAAUUCCAUGUGUAGCGGUGAAAUGCGCAGAGAUAUGGAGGAACACCAGUGGCGAAGGCGACUUUCUGGUCUGUAACUGACGCUGAUGUGCGAAAGCGUGGGGAUCAAACAGGAUUAGAUACCCUGGUAGUCCACGCCGUAAACGAUGAGUGCUAAGUGUUAGGGGG